UCUUGUUACUAGUCAGUGGGAAACCAUUUCAAAGUGUUGUGUGAUAUGGCACUUGAUGAUUAUCAUGCUCUGCUACAACAAUAAUACAAGCAGAUUGAGAAUCUCACCUGCGUAUUCUCCUUAGGUCCUCGACUUCCUUUCAGACUUGACAACUUGCAUCACACACCUUCUCAUUUGUUUUGCUCAAACAGGUGACGCACAAUGAGACUAUUCACACUGAUUUUCAUUAAAAAUGGUUUAAGUUUUAACAAAGAUUUGUUUAACCAAAGCCCCUUCUGUUUUCAUUAUUUUGUGUGGGUUAUUGCAAUUCAUAAUACUAAUUAUUGUGUCAUUGCCAUGAAACUGAUAUUUCCUGAGCUGAUAAUGGCACUGCUGAACUCUUCUACUGUUUCAACCCUGGUCAUGAUGCUUUAUUUUAAUUAAGGACGCACCAUAAUAUGGGCCAAGCAAUGAUAUCGACCUUGACUGCAAUUGGCCUAUCCGCAAAAGGGAAGGUAAAUAACAACAAAACAAAACAAAAAAACACCAUUAAAAUCAAAAUUAUUAUUAAAAGAUAUGACAGAUAAGAUAAGCUCUUGUGUUUAUUGUCCCAUAAUGGGGAAAUUGAUAUUUUGCAACAGCAGGACACUACAGAGCAAAAUGAAGGGCACUCAUAGCAAACAAUAGAAAAAAAAUCUCAUCUAAAAUCUAAGAUCUCAAUCUUUUUUUUUUUUUUUUUUUUUUUUUUUAAGAUCAUGCUUGAGAAAAGUGGAUAUGAAUGAGUGGUUAUGAAUGAGUAAUAACCAGAGGAUAGUACAGGGAAGAAUAAAGUGCAGAUUCAAGGCAAAUUACAAAAAAAUACUAAAGUAAAGAGAUAAAGAAUAAACACUAAACAAUGAAUAUAAAAUCUAAAAUCAAUUAUUUACACACAAAAAAAUUCUGCAUUGAUAUUUAUCCCUAAUAGGAUAGUAAGUUCAUCACAACUGUCUGGUGGAUGUUGAACGUGCAAUAAUUCAAACAGCUUCCUUGACAUUAACCACAGGCCACUAAGCAACACACCACAGUUUCAAUGGCUGACAAGAGUUGACCAAAUCCAGUCUGAACAAAGUUCAUACUAGAUAGGUUUUUCAGCACCGCAGCGAAAGAGGAGGAUUUAUUUCCUCCAACCUAAUGUGCUCGCCAAACAGUGCCUCAGCCCGCUGGAAUCUUUAUGGACUGGCAAAGUAAAAUGAGGCCAGCCUUGAGGGGAAAAAUGCUUGUAUGACUGGAAUUUGUGUCUCUAUACCACAUCGGCUUUGCUCACCUGCUUACUUUUCAAAGGCGUGUGUUAACGUGAUAUUGAAUAGAACCUGUCACUUUAAGGUUUGAGUACAGUUUGGUUGGUUAAAGUCCAUCUGAGACUGGUAAUUACAUUAAGACACUUAUAUUUUAGUUCCUAAUUUUGCAAUAUGUACUAGGUAAUAGGUGAGCACUGUUAAUACACAUUUAUAUUUUUAUUGCAAUUUCAUUUAUUUAACAUGUACUCAGUAUGUUAAGUUUUAAAGGACAUUCGCUAUUUUUCGAAGUAUUUGAUAUUUUACCACUGCUUACUAAUGUAUCUACAUCAAAAAAUUAAAUAUCCUAUUUUUGAUUCAUUGUACACUGAGAGAGAAACACGGUGUUUUCAGAUGAUGCAUCUACUUUCAUGUACCUUUGUAUUUUUCCUGCCUGGCAUGAACUCAAAACGGCAUGACAGGAGCGUGUUGGUUUGCCUAGCCAAUUAACUGUACCCCUUACAAGCAUUUUUAUUUAAACUGUUUUUCACAUUUCAGUUCGUUUUCCAAGCUAGUGGGAUGUUAUAUUUGUCUUUUUUGAUUUUCUCCAUGUGGCUGCUUCUGGUCUGUGCUACUCACAUCUCUCUGCCUGUGACCAUACAGACGUUGAAUGGGCAGGUAGUGCAGGCUUUUUAUGUGUGUUUCACAGCAUUAAUAUUACUGUCACCUGGACUUAUCUCCUGAAUGAACAGUGUUGGAGUUGCUUAUAUGAUAACCUGGGCUGUCUGUUCUCCUGCAUUUGCUUGACUUCACCUCAUACUAAUUGACCACAAAGUGACCCAGAUCUGCAGAAAAAAUGGGUUGUGUAGUGGGUGUUGUUAGCACCAUCAAGUGGAAAACAAUGAAACUGUUGAAAAUGACCAGUACAAGGGAAAAACCUCAUAUCCAUAAGGUCCCUCUGCUGGAAAAAUACUCAUCCUACAUCUAUGUUAGGAAACAGGUUGAUCCACAUGUUGAAAACAUGUAGAAGAGUCUUGUUGUAACUACCCCUCAUUCUUGCAUAAUUUUAAAUUUAAGUAUGAAGAGGAAACAAAAAAUAUGGAAAAAUCAUCAUACAUUUUCCAGGAAAUUUCAGGAAUUUCAAUGCAGAGAACAUACAUUUUUUAUUAGAAUUUGAUGAAAUCUGGCUCAAAAUAAAAAGAAAUGCAGAAACAGUGACCUUAUUGACUAAGCUUAUUAGAGUUUGUCUGCACAUUUUGGAAAUAUUUGUGAUAACACGGUCACAGAUAAUUACUGAAGUUAGUCAUGUACGAAAUAUGCAGUUACAGUCAAGUUCAACUUUAACUGUAACAAGUAAAACAUUGUUUUAAGUUACUUUAUAUGAGGUGUAGUCUGAGCAGCAUAGAGUCUGUACCAUGAAACAGAUAUGACUGACAUCUGAGCUGAAUUUUUUUAUUUUUUUUCAAAGGAGAUACAGUAACAAAGACAUGGUUCCAAGAAGAUGUGCUAAUGUACAGUAUGUGUGGCUGUAGGUGUGCACACACAUUUCUAGCUGGAUAGAAAAUCAUCAGCCAUUGGCAGGGCAGCGAAUACCAGACAAAAGAUGGCAACAGGAAUGGAAAGGAAAGGAAAAGAAAGGAAAGGAAAGGGAAAGGAACAGCUGGUGUGGUGGGAGUUACAGUGGGUUGAACGCAGUGCUGAAUAAAUGUGUCUUGACUCUGGACAAAAAAUACUGACAGAGUGUCUGUUCUUGACAAUGGCAGGAAGCUUGUUCCAAUGGGAGGAGGAGGCUGACUGGGAUAAGGCUCAUGCCUCAGCUGUUUUCUUUUGAAUGUGGGUAAUGACAAGGAUUCCUGCAUCCUGUGAGCAGGGACUGUGGCCCACGCAACACUUUAAGAAAAUGGAGUAAAUGCUCAAUGCAGCGACAAAAGAUAAAGAGCACAUUUUUACAGUUAGUGAUGAUAGGUUGGACCUGCUUUAGCCUAUGCAUAAGUUCAUAAAGACGUUAUCACAGUGUGGUCAAAGUAAAAGUUAUGGUUAAGAUGGAGGUACGAUAGUGAGCAUGACAGUGACCUAAAAAGUUCAGGUCAGGAAAAAAAUGAAAUAUUUAAUAGUAUCUGUACUAAGGAGGAUAAAGCAGUCUGUCAUAUAUUGGCUGUCGGAAUUUUUUUGUGGCAGCUUGUUUUUAAAUGCGGAAAUUGAUUGAUUGAUUGAUUGAUUGAUUGAUUUUUUUUUUUUUUUUUUUUUUUUUGGAUUCUUACAAAAAAAAAAAAACAAAAGACCUAAAGGAAAUUCAGCACAUUUAAACCUAUCAUCCAAAUUACAAUCAUUGCAAUGAAAGUGGUUAUUGUUUGCUCAGUGCAAAAACUGUAUACUCAAGAGUCUCCCUUAUUCCCUCUUUCCUUCUUUUCCUUUCUUGUACUGAAAGUUUUUUCCUGAGCUGAUAUGAUCACAGAAACAAUCAGUGUCUGCUUAUAAUAGGAAAAAACAAGUUUUAGGUGCUUGGGGAAGAAAUAUUUGAGUAAAAGUUGGUUUAAAGUUGAUGCUUGAUGGUCAGUGGAUGGAAUCAAUAACGUAUGUCCUUGCUCUGAUCUUGUGGUAAACAUCAGUGUCAUCUGCAUAAAAAUUAAAGUGAAAUCCUAAAGACAGUGGAUCAGAUAAUAUGGAAAAGAUCUGUAGAUUCAGUUUAAAGAGGAUCUGGUGAUAAACAGAAGACAUUUAGGAGGUUGUAUGAGAACAUGGUAGCAAGUGUUAGAUUUGACCAUAUGAGUGUAAGAAGGAAAACGUAUCAAUCUCCAGCAGCUGGCGGUGUGUUCAAUGGAUGUGUGUGUGUGUGUGUGUUCAUGUUUAUAAACCUCUCUCUGUCUGUCGGUCGGCUUUCCUCUCCUCUCUCUUCACCUUCAGAGGGAAGGACACACAUUCCAGCGCUGUUUCCCGACUCUAGCCCAGGGCGACGCUCAGCCAGAGCUGAUAAGUGACAGGGGCCCCAGCCCCCCUCGCAGGAGGGCCCCCCCCCCCUCUGGUUCCACACACACACAGUCACACACACCUCCUCUCCUCCCUGCCCUUCAGUCCACAGCCGUGCUGCUCGGGAAUUCUGCCCUCUGCCCCACUUCUGCCCCCCACCUCCUCACCCGCGCCCCCUCCUCUCUUUCUACCAGAGACGAGGAGGUCUUUAAAGAGAUAGAUUGGUCUUUAAUUUUUGUGCUAGCCUGGUCAGUGACACCGCUUCCCACCCCCUCCUCUUUGUCCUCCCUCUACAUUUACGAGCUGAACUGAGAUGUGAAGAGAGGCGUCACGAAAGCUCAAAUGGGAGAUUCAUCAAUCUUUGUAGAGUGAUUUAAUGCAUAUUCUUUUUCAUUUAAAUAGGUGUUUUCACAGGUAGCUUUAAUGACUUUUAAAGCUGCUGCUGACGGAGCUAAAGGUGCAGCUGUUGAGUUUCAGACAGUAAGUCUGAAAGCCUGGGUUUGAGCAUUUUCACAAUGUGUUAGGACAGGUUGGUUAUGUUACCUGUUGGAGGGUAUGGGGAGUUUCAUACUAUAAUGUAACAUGUCUGUUAUAGCUGUAGAACGAUUCUUGUCCAUUUGUGUCUUUGUUGGACAAUAACACCAUUGCUCUCCCUCCUUCUCUUUCUAUCUCUCCUUCUCUCUAUUAAGCAUUCCACUCAGACCUGCACCAAGGCUCUAAGCUCAAAAAACUCUCUGACCACGAGUGUGUAUGUGCCUGCGUUCAUGUUUGUACGUAUCUGAGUGUGUGUGUGUGCCUGCGUGUGCACUUGGUGCGUGCCUGAAUGUGUGUCAGCCUCAAUUGCUGGAGCCUAUCCAAGGUUUCCGUGGUGACCACACAACACAACGAGACAAUCAGAGGCAAGCCCACGCAGCGCGGCGAGAGGACAUUAACACAGGAACUGCGGGUCAGGGGGCAGAGGAAGGCAGGCAAGACAGGGGGAGAGGAAGAUGAAGAGGAAGGUGGAGUGAGGUGUUAAAGCCACAGGGAGGGGGUGAGCGAGAGAGUGACGCUGAGGAGAGAAAGGAGAGUAAACAACAAUAAACAAUGAGACAACCUUAAAGGCUACUUUAGGUUUCUCCCUUUCAGGCCUGCAAGACAUCAAGAGCGUUAAAGGUUUCCUGGCCCCAGGAGUGCCUGUGUGGUUUUGGCUGCACCCCACCUCUCUGUAUGUGUGUGUAUGUGUGUGUGUGUGUGCAGAGAUGGCUGCAUGCGUGACUGAAUCCAUGAGCAGGAGGGCUCCACAAGGGUGUAUGUUUGUCUGUUUGUGUGUGAGUGAGUGCACGCACAGACCUGAAUGUAACGUGAGAACGUGCGCGGGUCUCUUGAAAUUCAACUGUUAGAAAGUGUGUGUACGCUCGCACAUGUUUUCACUUUUGUGUGUGCAAGCCUGUGUGCAUCUGCAGCCGUGCACGCGGGCGCUCUCACAUAUCUCUGUCCCCCGGGGAUGACGCUAAAAAUAUGUGGCUCCUCAAGCCUUCUGGUGUCUGAGCAGCGUCUGUCUGCUCUCCAUUGCCGUCCCUGUGGCCCUCCCUCCCCUCCGUUACUCCUGUUCCCUCCAUUCCUCCCUCAAUUACACCCUCUUCCAAACACAGUACCUCCGCAAGCACACACACACGGACACACACGGACACACGCACACCAACUACACCCAGCUGUGUCCCCACUACACUUCCACUGAGGAUGACCUCUGCUCAGCCAGAGUGGGAUAAAGGGAGACGAAUGAAAAGAAAAA
Molecule: long non-coding RNA, 5973 nt
Organism: Sphaeramia orbicularis (orbiculate cardinalfish)
Lineage: Eukaryota; Metazoa; Chordata; Actinopteri; Kurtiformes; Apogonidae
Exons: 2
Source: RefSeq, a predicted model, not a curated record